AACGCUGGCGGCGUGCCUAACACAUGCAAGUCGCACGAGAAAGGGUAGCAAUACCUGAGUAAAGUGGCGCACGGGUGAGUAACACGUGAAUUAUCUACCUCCGAGUGGGGAAUAACUGAGAGAAAUCUUAGCUAAUACCGCAUAACACUUACGAGUCAAAGCAGCAAUGCGCUUGGAGAGGAGUUCGCGGCCGAAUAGUUAGUUGGCGGGGUAAUGGCCCACCAAGACGAUGAUCGGUAUCCGGCCUGAGAGGGCGCACGGACACACUGGAACUGAAACACGGUCCAGACUCCUACGGGAGGCAGCAGUGGGGAAUUUUGCGCAAUGGGGGAAACCCUGACGCAGCAACGCCGCGUGGAGGAUGAAAUAUCUUGGUAUGUAAACUCCUUUCGAUGGGGNAAGNAGUAUG
Molecule: ribosomal RNA, 409 nt
Filed under: uncultured Acidobacteriota bacterium
Lineage: Bacteria; Pseudomonadati; Acidobacteriota
Description: bacterial SSU rRNA
Rfam family: Bacterial small subunit ribosomal RNA
Source: RNAcentral